This 520-nucleotide ribosomal RNA is filed under the name uncultured Scutellospora. RNAcentral describes it as "SSU rRNA". It matches the Rfam family "Eukaryotic small subunit ribosomal RNA", at positions 569 to 1090 of the family's 1831-position model. Lineage: Eukaryota; Fungi; Glomeromycota; Glomeromycetes; Diversisporales; Gigasporaceae. The record is from RNAcentral.
AGCAGCCGCGGUAAUUCCAGCUCCAAUAGCGUAUAUUAAAGUUGUUGCAGUUAAAAAGCUCGUAGUUGAAUUUCGGAGUUCUACCGUCGGUCGGGCUACCAAGUCUGUACUGGUGUGUAGAAUUCCUACCUUCUGGGGAACCAUCAUGUUAUUAAUUUAGCGUGGUGGGAAACCAGGACCUUUACCUUGAAAAAAUUAGAGUGUUACAAAGCAGGCUUAUGUCUGAAUACAUUAGCAUGGAAUAAUAGAAUAGGACGGUGGUCCUGUUUUGUUGGUUUCUGAAUCACCGUAAUGAUUAAUAGGGAUAGUUGGGGGCAUUAGUAUUCAAUUGUCAGAGGUGAAAUUCUUGGAUUCAUUGAAGACUAACUUCUGCGAAAGCAUUUGCCAAGGAUGUUUUCAUUAAUCAAGAACGAAAGUUAGGGGAUCGAAGACGAUCAGAUACCGUCGUAGUCUUAACCAUAAACCUAUGCCGACUAGGGAUCGGACGAUGUUAAAUUUUAUUGACUCGUUCGGCGCCUUA